Molecule: ribosomal RNA, 429 nt
Filed under: Gemmatimonadota bacterium
Lineage: Bacteria; Pseudomonadati; Gemmatimonadota
Description: Gemmatimonadetes bacterium partial 16S ribosomal RNA
Rfam family: Bacterial small subunit ribosomal RNA
Source: RNAcentral
UAGGGAAUCUUCGGCAAUGGACGAAAGUCUGACCGAGCAACGCCGCGUGAGUGAAGAAGGUUUUCGGAUCGUAAAACUCUGUUGUUAGAGAAGAACAAGGACGUUAGUAACUGAACGUCCCCUGACGGUAUCUAACCAGAAAGCCACGGCUAACUACGUGCCAGCAGCCGCGGUAAUACGUAGGUGGCAAGCGUUGUCCGGAUUUAUUGGGCGUAAAGCGAGCGCAGGCGGUUUCUUAAGUCUGAUGUGAAAGCCCCCGGCUCAACCGGGGAGGGUCAUUGGAAACUGGGAGACUUGAGUGCAGAAGAGGAGAGUGGAAUUCCAUGUGUAGCGGUGAAAUGCGUAGAUAUAUGGAGGAACACCAGUGGCGAAGGCGGCUCUCGGGUCUGUAACUGACGCUGAGGCUCGAAAGCGUGGGGAGCAAACAGG